CCUACGGGGGGCAGCAGUGGGGAAUAUUGGGCAAUGGGCGCAAGCCUGACCCAGCAACGCCGCGUGAAGGAAGAAGGCUUUCGGGUUGUAAACUUCUUUUCUCAGGGACGAAGAAAGUGACGGUACCUGCGGAAUAAGCCACGGUUAACUACGUGCCAGCAGCCGCGGUAAUACGUCGGUGGCAAGCGUUAUCCGGAUUUGUUGGGUGUAAAGGGCGUGUAGGCGGGAGCGAAAGUCAGAUGUGAAAACUCAGGGCUCAACCCUGAGCCUGGAUUUGAAACUGGGUUUCUUGAGUGCUGGAGAGGUAAGCGGAAUGCCGGGUGUAGCGGUGAAAUGCGUAGAUAUACGGAGGAACACCAGUGGCGAAGGCGGAUUGCUGGACAGUAACUGACGCUGAGGCGCGAAAGCGUGGGUAGCAAACAGGAUUAGAUACCCUUGUAGUC
RNAcentral lists this ribosomal RNA (443 nucleotides) under uncultured bacterium. Its description in RNAcentral is "partial 16S ribosomal RNA". It matches the Rfam family "Bacterial small subunit ribosomal RNA", at positions 338 to 795 of the family's 1533-position model. The record is from RNAcentral.